Molecule: small nuclear RNA, 128 nt
Organism: Suncus etruscus (white-toothed pygmy shrew)
Lineage: Eukaryota; Metazoa; Chordata; Mammalia; Eulipotyphla; Soricidae
Product: U11 spliceosomal RNA
Exons: 1
Source: RefSeq, a predicted model, not a curated record
AAAAAGGGCUUCUGCCUGACUGGCACACGCCAGGCAGCUCGUUUGUCCUGCGUGCGGAAUCGACAUCAAGAGAUUUCGGGAAAAAGAAAAAAAAAAAAGAUUUCGGAAGCAUAAUUUUUGGGCCCCUG